UACGUAGGGCGCAAGCGUUAUCCGGAAUUAUUGGGCGUAAAGAGUUCGUAGGCGGCGCGGAAAGUAGGGUGUGAAAGCCCUCGGCUCAACCGAGGAAUUGCGCUCUAAACUACCGUGCUUGAGGAAGCUAGAGGUGAGCGGAACUGAUGGUGGAGCGGUGAAAUGCGUUGAUAUCAUCAGGAACACCGGAGGCGAAGGCGGCUCACUGGGGCUUUUCUGACGCUGAGGAACGAAAGCCAGGGGAGCGAACGGG
This 253-nucleotide ribosomal RNA is filed under the name uncultured bacterium. RNAcentral's name for it is "partial 16S ribosomal RNA". It matches the Rfam family "Bacterial small subunit ribosomal RNA", at positions 524 to 776 of the family's 1533-position model. The record is from RNAcentral.